Molecule: long non-coding RNA, 854 nt
Filed under: Mus musculus (house mouse)
Lineage: Eukaryota; Metazoa; Chordata; Mammalia; Rodentia; Muridae
Description: Hand2, opposite strand 1
Source: RNAcentral
GUUGCUAAUUGCCGAGGUCCUCUUCUAGGAUUGGUUGUCCACUCAUAACCAUAAGAUAAUUAAAACGGGGGGGGGCAGGGUAAAAAAAAAACCCUUUUAUCAGCCAUAGGUUAAUGCAAGUGUUUAACAGAUGCUUCGCUAUUAAAAUAUUUCCCCCCAAUACUGAAGAAUCUUAAACCAGCAACCCUAACAGAGAUUGCGAAGAUUUUCAAAGUGGGGCACCUCGAUUUCUCGAAUCUGUGGUGUGGCGAAUAUCCGUGUUCCUCCUGCUUAACUAGCCUGUUUGAAGGCACAGUUCAUUCUCGAGCAAUUCGUCACCUCCUGGGGGUCUUCUCUUCCCGUCUACAGGAGAGUGUGACUUCAGAAAGAACUUCGGAUUGGCCAAGGCCAUUAAAGCUGGUGAGCGACUUGGAAGUCAUUUAGAAAGGAACAGACCUUCAACCUCAAGCCUUUGCGGGCACUGGGAAAGUGUCUUCCCAAUCAAUCUGGCUUGCAGGCGGCAGGACCAACUCUGACCUGGCUUAUCUUGUACCCAUCCUAAAUACACCAAACUCAAGAGGUAGCCAGGGCCGCCUCAACACCGAGGCAGGUCUGAUUCUAUUUAUUCUAAAGACAGAGUUGGAGAUGGGCUACCAUUGGUGUUGAUUGAGAUGACAAGCAGUCACCUGAGCCCAUACAGCUGUGGGAGAAAGUGCUUGCUGCCAAGCUUGAUGACCUAAAUUGAAUACCUGGAACCUACACGACAGAAAGAGAGAGCUGACUGCUGAAAGAUGUCCUCAGAUCUUCACAUGUGCACAGUGGCACCUAUCCAACCAUGCACAUAGUAUAUUAAAAAUUAUUUUUUAAAAAAUCCA